This 460-nucleotide ribosomal RNA is filed under the name uncultured bacterium. RNAcentral's name for it is "partial 16S ribosomal RNA". It matches the Rfam family "Bacterial small subunit ribosomal RNA", at positions 338 to 795 of the family's 1533-position model. The record is from RNAcentral.
CCUACGGGAGGCAGCAGUGAGGAAUAUUGGUCAAUGGGCGCGAGCCUGACCCAGCCAAGUAGCGUGAAGGAUGACGGCCCUACGGGUUGUAAACUUCUUUUAUAAAGGAAUAAAGUGAGGCACGUGUGCCUUUUUGUAUGUACUUUGUGAAUAAGGAUCGGCAAACUCCGGGCCAGCCGCCGCGGUGAUACGGAGGCACCGAGCGUUAACCGGCUUGAUUUGGGUUAAAAGGAGGGUAAAAGGGUUGUUAAGUCAAUUGGGAAAGUUUGCGGCUCAACCGUCAAAUUGCAAUUGAUACUGGCAGUCUUGAGUACAGUUGAGGUAGGCGGAAUGCGUGGUGUAGCGGUGAAAUGCUUAGAUAUCACGAAGAACUCCGAUUGCGAAGGCAGCUUACUAACCUGCCACUGACACUGAUGCUCGAAAGUGUGGGUAUCAAACAGGAUUAGAUACCCUGGUAGUC